GACGAACGCUGGCGGCGUGCUUAACACAUGCAAGUCGAACGGAAAGGCCCUGCUCUUGUGGGGUGCUCGAGUGGCGAACGGGUGAGUAACACGUGAGUAACCUGCCCUUGACUUUGGGAUAACUUCAGGAAACUGGGGCUAAUACCGGAUAGGAGCUCCUGCUGCAUGGUGGGGGUUGGAAAGUUUCGGCGGUUGGGGAUGGACUCGCGGCUUAUCAGCUUGUUGGUGGGGUAGUGGCUUACCAAGGCUUUGACGGGUAGCCGGCCCGAGAGGGUGACCGGCCACAUUGGGACUGAGAUACGGCCCAGACUCCUACGGGAGGCAGCAGUGGGGAAUAUUGCACAAUGGGCGGAAGCCUGAUGCAGCAACGCCGCGUGCGGGAUGACGGCCUUCUGGUUGUAAACCGCUUUCGCCUGUGACGAAGCGUGAGUGACGGUAAUGGGUAAAGAAGCACCGGCUAACUACGUG
Molecule: ribosomal RNA, 468 nt
Filed under: uncultured bacterium
Lineage: Bacteria
Description: partial 16S ribosomal RNA
Rfam family: Bacterial small subunit ribosomal RNA
Source: RNAcentral